This 1261-nucleotide ribosomal RNA is filed under the name uncultured Russula. RNAcentral describes it as "eukaryotic LSU rRNA". The stretch from base 426 to 1261 matches the Rfam family "Eukaryotic large subunit ribosomal RNA", at positions 1 to 835 of the family's 3401-position model. The record is from RNAcentral. Lineage: Eukaryota; Fungi; Basidiomycota; Agaricomycetes; Russulales; Russulaceae.
AGGGCUGUUGCUGACCUCUAAAGGGUUGUGCACGCCUAAGCACUCUUAAACAUCCAUCUCACCCCAUUGUGCAUCACCGCGUGGGCCCCUUUGCAAAAGGGGCUUGCGUUUUUUUUAUACAUAAAACUUGAUACAGUAUAGAAUAUUAUAUUUUGCUAUUAUAUGCAACUAAUACAACUUUCAACAACGGAUCUCUUGGCUCUCGCAUCGAUGAAGAACGCAGCGAAAUGCGAUACGUAAUGUGAAUUGCAGAAUUCAGUGAAUCAUCGAAUCUUUGAACGCAACUUGCGCCCCUUGGCAUUCCGAGGGGCACACCUGUUUGAGUGUCGUGAAAUUCUCAAAAACCUUUUUGUUUGAUUGUUUCUGAUCAGGAAAAGGCUUUUGGACUUGGAGGUUUAAUGCUUGCUUUUGUGUUGAAAGCAAGCUCCUCUAAAAUAAAUUAGUAGGAUCUGCUUUGGUUAAUCUUAAAGGAAAUAAAAGGUUUUUCCAUUAGUAACUGCGAGUGAAGCGGGAAAAGCUCAAAUUUAAAAUCUGGUGGUCUUUAGCCAUCCGAGUUGUAAGAGAAGCAUCUUCCGCGCUGGACCGUGCACAAGUCUCCUGGAAUGGAGCGUCAUAGAGGGUGAGAAUCCCGUCUUUGGCACGGACAUGUCAGUGCUUUUGUGAUGUGCUCUCAAAGAGUCGAGUUGUUUGGGAAUGCAGCUCAAAAUGGGUGGUGAACUCCAUCUAAAGCUAAAUAUUGGCGAGAGACCGAUAGCGAACAAGUACCGUGAGGGAAAGAUGAAAAGCACUUUGGAAAGAGAGUGAAACAGUACGUGAAAUUGUUGAAAGGGAAACGCUUGAAGUCAGUCGUGUUGACCAAGACUCAGCCUUGCCUUGGCUUGGUGUAAUUCUUGGCUGACAGGCCAGCAUCAAUUUUGUCUCUUGGAUAAUGGUAAGGGAAAUGUGACACCUUUAUGGUGUGUAUAGUCUCUUGUCGCAUGCAAGGGUUGAGAUUGAGGAACUCAGCAUGCACCUUUUGGUGUUGGGGCUUUGCCCACAAUACGUGCUUAGGAUGUUGGCAUAAUGGCUUUAAACGACCCGUCUUGAAACACGGACCAAGGAGUCUAACAUACCUGCGAGUGUUUGGGUGGAAAACCCGUGCGCGUAAUGAAAGUGAAAGUUGGGACCUUUGUCGUGAAGGGCACCGACGCCCGGACCAGACCUUCUGUGACGGCUCUGCGGUAAAGCAUGUAUGUUAGGACCCGAAAGAUGGUGAACUAUG